RNAcentral lists this ribosomal RNA (253 nucleotides) under uncultured bacterium. Its description in RNAcentral is "partial 16S ribosomal RNA". It matches the Rfam family "Bacterial small subunit ribosomal RNA", at positions 524 to 776 of the family's 1533-position model. The record is from RNAcentral.
UAUGUAGGGGGCAAGCGUUGUCCGGAAUCAUUGGGCGUAAAGAGCGCGUAGGCGGCCCAGUAAGUCCGCUCUGAAAGUCAGGGGCUCAACCCCUGGAUGCGGGUGGAUACUGCUGGGCUAGAGUCCGGAAGAGGUCAGUGGAACUGCGAGUGUAGAGGUGAAAUUCGUAGAUAUUCGCAAGAACACCAGUGGCGAAGGCGGCUGACUGGUCCGGUUCUGACGCUGAGGCGCGAAAGCGUGGGGAGCAAACAGG